Molecule: ribosomal RNA, 445 nt
Filed under: uncultured bacterium
Lineage: Bacteria
Description: partial 16S ribosomal RNA
Rfam family: Bacterial small subunit ribosomal RNA
Source: RNAcentral
GUGAGGAAUAUUGGUCAAUGGGCGAGAGCCUGAACCAGCCAAGUCGCGUGAAGGAAGACGGCCCUACGGGUUGUAAACUUCUUUUGCAGGGGAAUAAAGUGCAGGACGUGUCCUGUUUUGUAUGUACCCUGAGAAUAAGGAUCGGCUAACUCCGUGCCAGCAGCCGCGGUAAUACGGAGGAUCCGAGCGUUAUCCGGAUUUAUUGGGUUUAAAGGGUGCGUAGGUGGUUUGAUAAGUCAGCGGUGAAAGUUUGCAGCUUAACUGUAAAAAUGCCGUUGAAACUGUCGGACUUGAGUGUAAAUGAGGUAGGCGGAAUGCGUGGUGUAGCGGUGAAAUGCAUAGAUAUCACGCAGAACUCCGAUUGCGAAGGCAGCUUACUAAGCUACAACUGACACUGAAGCACGAAAGCGUGGGGAUCAAACAGGAUUAGAAACCCCGGUAGUCC